Molecule: unclassified non-coding RNA, 334 nt
Filed under: soil metagenome
Description: partial contains 5.8S ribosomal RNA, internal transcribed spacer 2, and large subunit ribosomal RNA
Rfam family: 5.8S ribosomal RNA (bases 1-120)
Source: RNAcentral
GAUGAAGAACGCAGCGAAAUGCGAUAAGUAAUGUGAAUUGCAGAAUUCAGUGAAUCAUCGAAUCUUUGAACGCACAUUGCGCCCGCCAGUAUUCUGGCGGGCAUGCCUGUUCGAGCGUCAUUUCAACCAUCAAGCCCUGCUUGCGUUGGGGUCCUGCGGCUGCCCGCAGGCCCUGAAAACCAGUGGCGGGCUCGCUAGUCACACCGAGCGCAGUAAUACAUCUCGCUUUGGGCGUGCGGCGGGUUCUUGCCGUUAAACACCCCCUUUUUACCAAGGUUGACCUCGGAUCAGGUAGGAAUACCUGCUGAACUUAAGCAUAUCAAUAAGCGGAGGA